Cyanistes caeruleus (blue tit) is the source of this 2001-nucleotide non-coding RNA. The record is from RefSeq and is a predicted model, not a curated record. Lineage: Eukaryota; Metazoa; Chordata; Aves; Passeriformes; Paridae.
UUUCCCAGUACUUUUCCAUAGCCUUUCCUUAACCAGAAAGACAAAACAAAUUCCAGAGCUCCAAGCCCCAGGAGGUACAAGGCUCCAGGGCUGUCUUGGUUCUUCCUGGGAACCAAGGCUGAGAACAACUCUUUGAGAUACAUUCUCAUGGACAAAGUACAGCUAGUGCCGAAGGGAGGGACUCCAGAGAAGGGUUUGACCUGGGGGGGAACUGCAUCAUCACUUGCCCUCCUAAUUGGUGCUUUUUAUCAAUUAUGCUAAUUUCCUAAAACCUAUAAAAAUGUACUCAUCCCUGUGGGGGUGGGCUUUUGUGGACAUCUUUCCAUAACAGCCUGUGAAGGCCUUCAAAUAAAGAUCCUCUUUUAUAUUCCUUACUAAAAUUAUCUCGAGUUUCAUUUCCAGGUUGGGCAAAAUUUAUUCUGAUAAAACCCAGACGGGAUGGGAGAACCUGGUAUGGUUCUUCCGGACCGAGAACAUCCUGCAAGGAAUUCUUUCCUGCUGGCAAUCUUGAGAAUUCCGGGCAGCGGCCAGAGGAUGAGACACCACGGCUCCGAGAUCCCGCAGGAGGAAGGAUCCACUGGAAUUUUGAAAAAGGAGAAAAACAGAUAGGAUGGUUUUCUGAAUUGAAAAUUUAAAGUACCUUCUCCUGCAUCCCUGUGAAUAAGAAAGGCCAAGGACCCUCUGCUAUUACAUGGAAGAAUCCUGAAAUAAGGAAAAAAGAGUCAGUUCACCAAGACAGUGCUGCCAGAGGGUUUAAGGCAAGCCCAACUAUAUUAAGAAAUCAGCUGGCAAAGGAACUAGAGAACUGGAGAAGUCAGCAACUGAGAAUUGACGCAUCCAAUCAGCAGCCAAGAAUUGAUACAUGCAACAGUUGCAUGCAACCCACUGUAAGUUUGUUCUGUGAACAUCGGAGACAUGUACCCUAUGCCGUGUUACUGAAACAGAGGAAGCCUAUUCCAGCAGACCAGACCUGAAGGAUGUGCCAGACUGGGAGCUGCAUGCCGAUGAGAGCAGCUCCAUGCGAGAUGGCAAACAGGUGACAAGUUAUGCAGUGACAAUCACGAACCAGGUAAUCAGGGAAAAGGCCUUGCCAUCAAAUGUAUCAUCACAAAAGGCUGAACUGAUUACAUCAAUGGAAGAUCUAAAACUGAGCAAAGUCAUCAGGAAGGAAAGAAGACUGGCAAACUAUUCAAGGUAAUAGAACUGAACACUCUGAACAGAUCAAUGCACUACUACAGAAUAUUUGGGAAUGUAGAGAAGCAGCUUUUAUGCAUUUCAAAGCUCAUCAAAACGGAAAACAACUCCUGAAUUAAAGAAUCAUUUUGCUGAUAAAAUAGUAAAAGGGGCUGCAGAAAAAGGCAUCUUAACAGUGGUGCCACAGAAGGAAAUCAAUUUGUUAAGGUUUGCCCCAAAGUGUGAUCCAAAGGACCAUCAGUUUUCUGGCAAAAAGGCUGAAAUCAAGGAAAGUGAACAGGCUAUUACACCAGAAACAACCCAAACAUGGGCAAAAGAGUUGUGUUAAAAAUAACAGAGCCAAGAGAUUUUUCUGGAGAUUAUUGACAAAUAGAUUCUUCUGAGUUACCAAGCAAAGAAAGAAACAGGAAUGUGUUUGUGUUAGUUCACACCUUUAGUGGAACAUCUAAAGCUUACCCGUCACACUAACACUGAGGGAGGUGGUGAAAGUUUUUCUCAAUCAUAUAAUUCCAAAAGUUUGGGGUUCCUUAGGGGUUGGUUCCCCAGUGAUCAGGGAAACUGGUCAAAUGUUGGAAAUUGUUUGAGGUCUGUAAAUUCCCUAUAUAUCCCAAAUGAGUAGUAAAGCUGAGUCUGUGAAUGGAACCCUCAGAACACAGAUUAGUAAUAUUUGUCAGAAAUGUUCAUGACAUGGGUUCAAGUCUUGCCUAUAGCCUUGCUGAGAAUCUGCAUGCAAUCAAGGCAGAGCCAACAUGAACCCUUAUGAAAUAUUGCAUGGCAGGACAUACCAAAUUGUGUAUGUUAUGGGAG